UAAAAUAAGUAAAUUUCUUAUUGACGGCA
RNAcentral lists this non-coding RNA (29 nucleotides) under Mus musculus (house mouse). Lineage: Eukaryota; Metazoa; Chordata; Mammalia; Rodentia; Muridae. The record is from RNAcentral.